This 812-nucleotide ribosomal RNA is filed under the name uncultured bacterium. Its description in RNAcentral is "bacterial SSU rRNA". It matches the Rfam family "Bacterial small subunit ribosomal RNA", at positions 62 to 913 of the family's 1533-position model. The record is from RNAcentral.
UCGUACGAGAGUUUUUAACUCAAGUGGCGGACGGGUGAGUAACACGUGAGAAUUUGCCUUUAGGAGGGGAAUAACAGAGUGAAAACGCUGCUAAUACCCCAUAUGCUUUCGAGUGAAAUGGAUUUAUUCGCCUAAAGAGAAGCUCGCGGCUGAUUAGCUUGUUGGUAAGGUAAUGGCUUACCAAGGCGACGAUCAGUAUCUGGUUUGAGAGGACGAUCAGACACACUGGAACUGAGACACGGUCCAGACUCCUACGGGAGGCAGCAGUGGGGAAUUUUCCGCAAUGGGCGAAAGCCUGACGGAGCAAUACCGCGUGAGGGAUGACUGCCUAUGGGUUGUAAACCUCUUUUCUCAGGGAGGAAAUCAAUGACGUUACCUGAGGAAUAAGCAUCGGCUAACUCCGUGCCAGCAGCCGCGGUAAGACGGAGGAUGCAAGUGUUAUCCGGAAUCACUGGGCGUAAAGCGUCUGUAGGUGGCUUAACAAGUCAACUGUUAAAUCUUGAAGCUCAACUUCGAAAUCGCAGUCGAAACUGUUAGGCUAGAGUAUAGUAGGGGUAAAGGGAAUUUCCAGUGGAGCGGUGAAAUGCGUAGAGAUUGGAAAGAACACCGAUGGCGAAGGCACUUUACUGGGCUAUUACUGACACUCAGAGACGAAAGCUAGGGUAGCAAAUGGGAUUAGAUACCCCAGUAGUCCUAGCCGUAAACAAUGGAUACUAGAUGUUGGGCAGAUCGACCUGUUCAGUAUCAAAGCUAACGCGUUAAGUAUCCCGCCUGGGAAGUAUGCGCGCANGCGUGAAACUCAAAGGAAUUGA